Molecule: non-coding RNA, 174 nt
Organism: Arachis ipaensis
Lineage: Eukaryota; Viridiplantae; Streptophyta; Magnoliopsida; Fabales; Fabaceae
Source: RefSeq, a predicted model, not a curated record
GGAAGAGUGAGGAGUUUAUAAGAUGAGAGACCCAUUAACUUGACACCUUAAGGUUUUGAGUUGGAUGUGGUGUCUUCUCAUCUUAUGUUCUCUCACUUGAUUCCUCCCCGAAUUCUCCCCGGUUGUCGAGAGCUCCCCAUGGUUGGCCCAACACUUUCCUGAGAUACUCAAUGC